CCCGGAGGGGCAGCGAGGAGCCGGGCACCCGGGGCGUCCUCUCACAGUGGCUGCCUUCUCACGUGGCCCUCGGCCCUGAGCGUGGGGCUCUGUGACCUCCCUGCCGCCGAAUUCCUGACAAGCCCCCUCCCCGCCACACACACAGCUGGGCGAAUGGAGCGUUUAUUCGCAGCUUCGUGAAAAUCCUGGAGCCCUGGGUCAGGGUCUGGCUGGUUCCCAAAGAGGAAUGGGCUCGGCGUAGGAUCUUGUGCCGAGAGAGGCUUCAGAGUGGCUCCUCCUGUUCGGUGGAGGGGACGCUCGACGGAGACCCCUGGAAGGCCUUUUGUGUCACAACUCCGGGGAGCAAGGGUGCUCUUCCUGGCUGUGCCUUUGUGGAUCCGCAGUUAGAGUGGAGUUGUCCCAGGGACCAGCUGGCUCUGGGAGCCCGUGGUUGUCAGCGAGAUGCCGAGGGGCCGGGAAGCCGCGUCAGUGGGGCCUGUGCGGGAACCAGGGCUUCUCUGGCUUCUGACCAGGCUGCAUCCCGAGCUUGGCCCUGUGAUCUCAAGGUGGUGGCCCGAGGUUUUUAUCUAUAGGAAAGAGCUGGAGCCCGGCCUGCUCAUCUCCAUCCCCUCGGUGCCUCUCUGCCUCUCGCCUGCCCCCUGCCCCGAUCUGACUCUCAAGGGGGAAAUAACAUCAGGGAGCCCCUCGUCUUCCCCCUUAAGGCCCCUCGUUCCUGCCAUAUUUAAUGCUGUUUCCUCUCAUCUUGGUGCUGUUGGCAGCACAGGACGCGGCCCCGCAGCUGCUCUUCUCCCUGGUGCCGCCAGUGGUGGCAGGUGGGCGGGGAAGCCGCUUCCUCUCUCGUGGGGUGGACAGGGCAUGGGGUCAGAGCUCAGGCUACCCCUCAUCCCCAGACCUUACUCCCCUUCCAGGGAAGAGAGUGACCAAAUCCUUAUCCAGGAAAAAGCACCUGCUGCCUCCCCUGGGACAGCCUGGAGCUCUGCCUUCCAGAGCAUCCCAAAGGUCCUGCCUGCGGAGUGUUGCUCCCAGGAGGUUGGUCAGUGCUUCUGA
Molecule: long non-coding RNA, 1047 nt
Filed under: Capra hircus (goat)
Lineage: Eukaryota; Metazoa; Chordata; Mammalia; Artiodactyla; Bovidae
Description: lncRNA (ENSCHIG00010020414.1)
Source: RNAcentral